RNAcentral lists this ribosomal RNA (253 nucleotides) under uncultured bacterium. Its description in RNAcentral is "partial 16S ribosomal RNA". It matches the Rfam family "Bacterial small subunit ribosomal RNA", at positions 524 to 776 of the family's 1533-position model. The record is from RNAcentral.
UACAGAGGUUGCAAGCGUUGUUCGGAUUUACUGGGCGUAAAGCGCACGUAGGCGGGCCGUUAAGUCAGGGGUGAAAUCCCGGAGCUCAACUCCGGAACUGCCUUUGAUACUGGCGACCUUGAGGCUGGAAGAGGUUAGUGGAAUUCCCAGUGUAGAGGUGAAAUUCGUAGAUAUUGGGAAGAACACCAGUGGCGAAGGCGGCUAACUGGUCCAGAUCUGACGCUGAGGUGCGAAAGCGUGGGGAGCAAACAGG